GCUUUUAUGUACAAGGAGGAAUCAGUGCACUGGUUUGAUGGUUCUUGUACAUCUUCAACCGGCAACUAUUGCCUGUUUUGGCAGCCUUGCAAAUAUUUCCGCUAGAACUUGAAUAAACGAUGUAUUCCUUUCAUCCCUUUUUAUAAAAUUAUUGUAAAAUUUAGCACCUAAUUGUUCUGUUAGAAACUGAUGCAGGAGUCAAUUUUGGUGUGUUGAAUGCAUUGCAGUAUACUUUUGAUUUAUGAUUGUGUGCUAAUUAUGAUCUAAUUAUCUUUACAGGUCAGAUUCCUGGGACAAAUCCUGCCUUUUCUGGAAUGUUUCCUAACAUGUUUCCUUUAGGGGCCGGUCAGUUUGGUGCUCUUCCAGUUAUGCCAGUUCAGGCAAUGACUCAGCAGGUCUUUAGAGUUAAAGCUGCAUUAUAUUUCUCUUUUGGAACAAUUUUCAUUUGCAUAAAGUGAUUAUUCCCCCUCAAAUAAUUAUGUGAUGUAUAUUGUUGCUACAGGCCACUAGGCAUGCUCGGCGGGUAUAUGUUGGAGGACUUUCCCCUACAGCUAAUGAACAAUCCGUAGCAACUUUUUUCAGCCAUGUUAUGGCUGCAAUUGGAGGAAAUACUGCUGGCCCAGGGGAUGCUGUU
RNAcentral lists this unclassified non-coding RNA (634 nucleotides) under Hevea brasiliensis (rubber tree). Lineage: Eukaryota; Viridiplantae; Streptophyta; Magnoliopsida; Malpighiales; Euphorbiaceae. The record is from RNAcentral.